Molecule: unclassified non-coding RNA, 403 nt
Filed under: soil metagenome
Description: partial contains 5.8S ribosomal RNA, internal transcribed spacer 2, and large subunit ribosomal RNA
Rfam family: 5.8S ribosomal RNA (bases 1-121)
Source: RNAcentral
GAUGAAGAACGUAGUGAAAUGCGAUAAGUAAUGUGAAUUGCAGAAUUCAGUGAAUCAUCGAAUCUUUGAACGCACCUUGCGCCCUUUGGCCAUUCCGAAGGGCAUGCCUGUUUGAGUAUCAUGAACACCUCAACUCUCAUGGUUUGCCAUGACGAGCUUGGACUUUGGGGGUCUUGCUGGCCUUUUGGUCAGCUCCUCUCAAAUGAAUUAGCUUUCCAGUGUCUGGUGGCAUCACGAGUGUGAUAAAUAUCUACGCUUGUGGUUUCCUGCCAGGUAACCUUCAGUGAUGGAGGUUCGCUGGGGCUCAUAAAUGUCUCUCCUCAGCGAAGACAGCUUUGUGAACGUUUGAUCUCAAAUCAGGUAGGACUACCCGCUGAACUUAAGCAUAUCAAUAAGCGGAGGA